Long non-coding RNA from Loxodonta africana (African savanna elephant), 3885 nucleotides. RefSeq lists it as uncharacterized. The transcript has 4 exons. Lineage: Eukaryota; Metazoa; Chordata; Mammalia; Proboscidea; Elephantidae. The record is from RefSeq and is a predicted model, not a curated record.
GCUGCCUGGGGCUGGUAGUGUAGGGAAGCAUGAAUUGCAAAGGGAAGCAGGGAAAUUUGGGGGAAUGAUGGAAAUGUUCUAUGUUUUCAUUGUGGCAGUAGUUUCAGAGGUAUAUGUAGCUGUCAAAGCUCAUCAAAUUGUACACUCUAAACAGAUGCAGUUCAUUGUACAUAAAUUAUACCUUAAUAUGGGUAUAUAUCAAUAAAGGUAUUAGCUGAAAAACUAAAAUAUGGGAGGGGGGGAAGUGGAUGGUGUGUGGAUAGGGCAGGGCUGAUCAUGCGUUCACAGUGUUGGGGUUGGUGCUGGUUACAUGUAGGCUUCAUUACACCGUCCAGCUGCUUUUGCAUAUGUUCAAAAUUCUCCAUCAUGAAGAGUUUUUUUAAAAGAUAAGAAAAAAAAAAUCCAAAUUAGGGGUUUUGGAAAUUCUCAAUAAGGGUGAUUUGCUAAAAAAUCAUUGAAAUUAGAUUUGGUUGAGAUAAUUAUGAAUGACUGGAGGAAAACUGCUACCAUCUGGAAAGAUGCUACCUUCAGGUUUCCUCUAAGUGGCUUCAAGUUCUUAUUGCACAGUAAUAAAAAGAAAAUUCUAAAAAAAAAAAAAUGCAAAAUAACAUAACUCUGCACAUGUACAGAUGUGUCCUCCAGUCUUUCUCUCUUCCAAUUGGCCCAGCAGCUUUUUUGAACAUAACCACUCUGUAUUUGCUGCCUUUGUUUUCUUUUACUGGUUCCCUGGGAGGGUGACUCAUAUUUCACAAAGGGUGGAGCCUGUAGGGAGGCCAUCGGGCAAUUCAGUGUAAGUGAAAGGGAAUUGUGAAGCAUCAGUGCGGCCACUCUUACAAACACUGUGGUAUGGGAUGGGAUUGGCUCUGCAGAGGCUGGGACACCGAGCUGUUAGCUGCCUUCCCUCCCCCUACAGCCAUGGCCUGGGUUUUAUUGCCUCUGUACCCUUGGGAACCAGCUUCCCGCCAAGUGUCUGAGAGGACAGGCCUAGUUCCUGGCUACGGGAGGAUGUGAAAGUGAAAGGUUCUGACUGUACUUGACUGUGAUUUGAAACACCUGUCAGGAAGAACAGGUCCCGCCUAACUCGAGGGUGCUCCCAAGUGGCUGUGGAUGAGCAACAAUUCCCCUGCAGAGAGAGGAAGGAGAAACCUGAGCCAAACUUAGGCAUACUGCCCUGACAAUGGAAAUGAGCUUGCAUCCCACGUUCGGAGUGGCUGUUGUGAGAAGAAAGCAGCUCAGAUCCUGAGGGCGAUGAUGUAGGACGCUGAAAGUCCAAAUUCAGGGUGUCAGCUCCAGGAGAAGGCUUUCUCUAUCUGCCAGCUCUGCAGGAAGGUCCUUGUCAUCAAUCUUCCCCUAAUCUAGGUGCACAGGAACCCCAAAGGACAUGCUCUGCUCCUGGCCGCUGCGUUCUUGGUGGUUGUUAACGAGUCUUCCUCCAGUCCUGAUGCUGCAUUCUUCUUCAUAUAUCCAGCUUCUGGGAUUAUUUGCUCAGCAUACAGAUUGAAUAAGUAUGGUAAAAGGAUACAGCCCUGGAGCACGGCUUUCCUGAUUUUAAACCACACAGUAUCCCCUUGUUCAGAUGACUACCUCUUGGUCUAUGUACAGCUUCCACAUGAACACAAGUAUUCUGGAAUUCUUCUCCACAGUCGAAUGUCUUUGAAUAGUCAAUAAAACACAGCUAAAUCCUUCCAGUAUUCUCCGCUUCUAGCCUAGAUCCCUCUGACAUCAGCAAUGAUAUCCCUCAUGCCACAUCCUCGUCUAGAUCCAGCUUGAAUUUCUGGCCGUUCCCUGUUGAUGUACUGUCGCAACUGCUCUUUUGAAUGAUAUUCGGUGAAAUUUUACUUGUGUGUGAUAUUAAUGACAUUGAUAAUUUCCACAUUCUGUUGAAUCACCUUUUUUGGAGUGGGCACAAAUACGGAUCUCCUCCAGUCGGUUGGCCGGGUAGCUAUCUUCCAAAUUCCUUGGCACAGAUGAGUGAGCGCUUUCAGCCUUGCGUCCUUUUGUUCAAACAUCCCAAUUGAUAUUCUGUCAUUUCUGGAGUGUCUUAGUUAUCUAGUGCUGCUAUUACAGAAAUACCACAAGUGGAUGGCUUUAAUACACAGAAAUUUAUUCUCUCACAGUUUAGGAGGCUAGAAGUCCAAAUUCAGGGUGCCAGCUCCAGGGGAUGGUUUUUCUGUCAGUUCUGGGGGAAGGUCCUUGUCAUCAACCUUCCCCUUGUCUAGGAGCUUUUCAGUGCAGGAACCCCGGUCCAAAGGAUGCACUCUGUUCCAGGUGCUUCUUUCUUGGUGGUAUGAGAUCCCUUUCUUCUCUGCUUGAUUCUUUCAUUUAUAUCUCAAAACAGAUUGACUCAAGAUACAACCUAAUCCUGUAGAUUGAGUCCUACCUCAUUAGUAUAAUUAUCUUUAAUCUUGCCUCAUUAACAUCAUAGAGGUUAGGAUUUACAACACAUGGGAUAAUCACAUGAGAUCACAAAAUGGUGGACUACCAUACAACAUUGGUAAUCAUGCCUUAGCCAAGCUGAGACACAUUUUGGGGGGACACAAUUCAAUCCAUUACAUUCUACCCUUUGCCCCCCCCAAAUUCAUAUCCUUGCCAUAUGUAGAACAUACUCACCCUAUCCUAUCAUAGCAAAAGUCUUAAAUCAAGUCCAAAUUCUCUUGGGGCAAAAUUCUUCUUCGUCUGUGAAAUCUAGAAUACAAGUUAUCUGCUUCCAAAGUACAAUGGUGGAAGAGGCACAACGUAGACAUUUCUAUUAUAAAAGGGAGAAAUUGGAGGGAAAGAAGGGAUAGCAGGCACCAGGCAAGUCAGCAGAACACAUUACAUUAGCCCUCAGCCUUGAAAAUAAUCCUGUGUUUUCUGAGACCAUUUAGACAAUGGCCCUGCCCUCCAGACUCUGAGUGUUGGCCAUACUCUCUGGAUUCUGGGUGGAGGGCCCUGAGCCCUGGGCUUCAGCUCCACUUUCCAGGCCCACUGGAACACCAACUCCGCACCUUCUGAUUUGGGCAGCAACAUUCUCCCCGUUCAUCUGAGUGGCGACCCCACCCUGUUCUUCUGCCCCUUGGGUAUGGCAGCUCCAUCCCCGAAGAUUUAGGCAGCAGAUCCAGCUGCUAAUGGAAAGGUUGGUAGUUUAAAUCUGCUUCAGUAAAGAUCGCAGCCUUGGAAAUUCUAUGGGGCAGUUCGGCUCUGUCACUACGGGUCACUAUGAGUUGGAAUUGACUUAAGGCAAUGGGUUACUAUAGUUCCACAUGUGCACUUGGUCCUGAGAACCGCUGGUAUCUCAACAACUGGCUGGGUAGGUUGAAGAAGAAGCUGGGAAUUGGUUGGACCAACACUCGGCAAACUGAUAUGGCUGAAACUGGGCCCCUGAAGGACAUGAGGCCCAAAAGGAGCCCCUUGGACUGAGCUUGAUAGCUGAGAAAGCCAGUUCUGGUGGAUGGUUACUGAACCCACCCUAACAUUUGUCAGGCUCAGGGAAAAAAUAGAAAUAGAGAUCCAUGUACCAUAUGUCUAAAUAAUUGAAAGUUCAAAAUCAAGCUAACAAACUGUUAAAUAAAAUAUGUUUUAACUUCCUACUUAAACAAACACAGCUUCAUAACAACAAAAUAAAAAAAGCAUUCAGAAAGCUGUGCUUUUAUGAUGGAAAGCCAGCAAAAAAAGCAAAGAUAACAGAAUGUAAUUAUUAUUGCCAAUGUAAAACCAAUGAAAUAGCUAUUAAUUCCAAUCUCGUUGCUUUUCCCUUUGGUAGCUCAACAAUAUGUAUUUAAAUGUAUCAUACAUAUAAUACGUGUUAUUUGUUUUACAUGACUUUUGUCCAUAAUAAAUUCUAGUUAAACUGAGUAACAAGACUUACUUCUGAAUAUGAUGUAUGUAUUAUUACUUGUCUACUUU